ACGCUCGACACCUACGAGGCAGCAGUGGGGAAUAUUGCACAAUGGGGGAAACCCUGAUGCAGCGACGCCGCGUGGAGGAAGAAGGUCUUCGGAUUGUAAACUCCUGUUGUUGGGGAAAAAGAGGAUGGUACCCAACAAGGAAGUGCGGCUAACUACGUACCAGCAGCCGCGGUAAUCUGAGCGGGCNGCAAGC
RNAcentral lists this ribosomal RNA (193 nucleotides) under uncultured bacterium. Its description in RNAcentral is "partial 16S ribosomal RNA". It matches the Rfam family "Bacterial small subunit ribosomal RNA", at positions 326 to 539 of the family's 1533-position model. The record is from RNAcentral.